CCUACGGGAGGCAGCAGUGAGGAAUAUUGGUCAAUGGGCGCUAGCCUGAACCAGCCAAGUAGCGUGAAGGAUGACUGCCCUACGGGUUGUAAACUUCUUUUAUAUGGGAAUAAAGUGCACAAUGUAUCCUGCUUUGCAUGUACCUUAUGAAUAAGGAUCGGCUAAUUCCGUGCCAGCAGCCGCGGUACUACGGAGGAUCCGAGCGUUAUCCGGAUUUAUUGGGUGUAAAGGGAGCGUAGGCGGGUUGUAAAGUCAGUUGUGAAAUUUUGCGGCCUAACCGGAAAAUUGCAGUUGAUACUGGCAGCCUUGAGUACAGUAGAGGUAGGCGGAAUUCGUGGUGUAGCGGUGAAAUGCUUAGAUAUCACGAAGAACUCCGAUUGCGAAGGCAGCCUGCUGGACUGCGACUGACGCUGAUGCUCGAAAGUGUGGGUAUCAAACAGGAUUAGAUACCCUAGUAGUC
RNAcentral lists this ribosomal RNA (460 nucleotides) under uncultured bacterium. RNAcentral's name for it is "partial 16S ribosomal RNA". It matches the Rfam family "Bacterial small subunit ribosomal RNA", at positions 338 to 795 of the family's 1533-position model. The record is from RNAcentral.